Molecule: non-coding RNA, 90 nt
Organism: Bos taurus (domestic cattle)
Lineage: Eukaryota; Metazoa; Chordata; Mammalia; Artiodactyla; Bovidae
Source: Rfam
UGGGGCAGCCGCUGUCCCUGUCCUCCAGGAGCUCACUUGGUCCGGCCGUGCGCUCCUCGAGGCCAGAGCCCGUGUCUGCUUCCCGCCAGC